Molecule: transfer RNA, 73 nt
Filed under: Bos taurus (domestic cattle)
Lineage: Eukaryota; Metazoa; Chordata; Mammalia; Artiodactyla; Bovidae
Also listed under: 4 other names
Rfam family: tRNA
About the family: Transfer RNA (tRNA) molecules are approximately 80 nucleotides in length. Their secondary structure includes four short double-helical elements and three loops (D, anti-codon, and T loops).
Source: Rfam by way of RNAcentral
UCUCUUGUGGUCCACUGGUUAAGACACUGUGCUUCAACUAUAGGGAGCACAGGUUCAAUUCCUGGUAGGGGAA